RNAcentral lists this unclassified non-coding RNA (200 nucleotides) under Gymnostellatospora sp. Its description in RNAcentral is "partial internal transcribed spacer 2". The record is from RNAcentral. Lineage: Eukaryota; Fungi; Ascomycota; Leotiomycetes; Thelebolales; Pseudeurotiaceae.
UUAAGUUCAGCGGGUAUCCCCACCUGAUCCGAGGCCAACCUUGUAAAAAUUCGUUCCGGGCGGCCUCCGUCCGGGCGCCCAAGCGAGGGUUUUGCUACGCUUGGAGCCGGACGGCACCGCCACUGAUUUAGGGCCCGCCGGGGCGGCGGGGCCCAACACCAAGCAGAGCUUGAGGGUUGUAAUGACGCUCGAACAGGCAU